CCUAAACAGACAGACCGAAGGGAACGAGUGGCCGGAGGCUAACUCGGAGGGACGCACAGAAGUGAUGAUGAGAGGAGAAGCCCCUAGGCGGCGAGAGGAAGGCUAGCACUAACCUAUGUUGGUCUGAGGGACCUGGGGAACGAGAGACAGGAGGCGCCUACGACUCGAGAAGACGCUCACUAGAGCAGGGCUCUCGAAGAGAAGACGGACACCAGCGAAAACUCAGAAAUGGAGUGGGACGCCUGAAGGAGGG
Molecule: long non-coding RNA, 253 nt
Filed under: Elaeis guineensis (African oil palm)
Lineage: Eukaryota; Viridiplantae; Streptophyta; Magnoliopsida; Arecales; Arecaceae
Description: long non-coding RNA (EGUI_LNC071314)
Source: RNAcentral